ACAUGCCACUAACGAAGCAGAGAUGCAUUAGGUGCCCGUAAGGGAAAGUGGACACAGGUGCUGCAUGGCUGUCGUCAGCUCGUGUCGUGAGAUGUUGGGUUAAGUCCGCAACGAGCGCAACCCUUGCCAUUAAUUGCCAUCAUUUAGUUGGGCACUUUAAUGGGACUGCCGGUGACAAACCGGAGGAAGGUGGGGAUGACGUCAAGUCCUCAUGGCCCUUAUGGCCAGGGCUUCACACGUAAUACAAUGGUCGGUACAGAGAGUUGCCAAGCCGCGAGGUGGAGCUAAUCUCAGAAAGCCGAUCGUAGUCCGGAUUGUUCUCUGCAACUCGAGAGCAUGAAGUCGGAAUCGCUAGUAAUCGCGGAUCAGCAUGUCGCGGUCGAAUACGUUCCCGGGCCUUGUACACACCGCCCGUCACACCAUGGGAGUGGGUUUUACCAGAAGUAGUUAGUCUAACCGUAAGGGGGACGAUUACCACGGUAGUAUUCAUGACUGGGGUGAAGUCGUAACAAGGUAGGCGUAGUGCU
Molecule: ribosomal RNA, 527 nt
Filed under: uncultured bacterium
Lineage: Bacteria
Description: bacterial SSU rRNA
Rfam family: Bacterial small subunit ribosomal RNA
Source: RNAcentral